GCAGAGUGAUUGAAAGCAUUUAAAAAAUUAUGUCAUAUCCUUCUCUUCCACGCCGUGGCAAUGUUUCUGGAUGCUUCAUUUUGAUGAAAACGAGGGGAGCAGCCUGGAAGAUGGCGGAGGCCUGGAGGUGUCAUCAAGGCCUAGGAUCAUCCUUACUGCUGGUUCAGAGAGCUCCCACUGCCCCUUGCAGCUGCAGUCAGACGCAUCUAUAACGGUGAGAAGCAGAGAAGAAAGGAAGGCAAGAGCACAGGAAAGAAGGGAAGAAGAGAGUGAGAAAGAUGAACCUAAUAUUACAUAUCAGAAUACUCAAGAUUUACUAAAAAAUGUUAUA
This is a long non-coding RNA of Mustela lutreola (European mink), 331 nucleotides long. RefSeq lists it as uncharacterized. Lineage: Eukaryota; Metazoa; Chordata; Mammalia; Carnivora; Mustelidae. The record is from RefSeq and is a predicted model, not a curated record. The transcript has 3 exons.